GUCACCCAGGCUUCAGGCAUAACUGUUAAAGCUUGUAUCCAACAUUACUUUGUGAAAGAACAGUUCUAACAAUUUUGUGUGGGACCAUCCACUGAAGAGUGGCCAUCACACCUUGAGCCACACUCUCAAAGAAAACCGACACUCUCCCAGCAAUUAUCAGCUCCUCAGUGAGAGGUAAAUUCCACAGUGGACUGUUGUCAGGCUCCAUCUUGUGCAUCUCUUGGACAGACAACCACCAGUCCUUUGAGGUCAUGAGUGCAGUGGACUUGUCAUGUCUAGAAGAUAUUGUUCUCUUCUGAUCCUCCCUGACCUCUGGCUCUUAAAAUCUUUUCUCCCCACUUCCAUGAUGGUCCCAGAGCCUUGGGGAGGAGUGUGAUAUAGAUGCCCCAUUUAUGACUGAGCUCCACUGACACUUCUCUGCACUUUGACCCGUUGUGAGUUUCUGCGUUAACCACAAUCCACUGCACAAAGAAACUUCUUUGAUGAUGUUUGAGAGCUGCAUUAAUCCGAGUCCGGAUCCUGCUCUCUUCCUCUAGAAAUUUCAGAGUUUCCAGUCUAGUAGGUCAAUCUGGAAUUGACUUGCACUGUAGACCCCUCGAGAGUCUACGUAUGCGACCACAUCGUCUACCACUGGAGGUGGUUUUACUUCUUCUUCCUUUUCCAUGUAAUGGUUCUUCUGCUUCUCCUUUCAUCUCCCCUCCUUUGAUCCUCCAAUACAGUAUGGGUUCAAACACUCCUUUCUGUCUUAUUCCUGAUAAUACAGAUGCUCUGUGUUGAGGUAUUUGAGAAAGUCCCCUUCCUUCAUUAGUGGGUUUUUUUUGGGGGGGGCAUGUUUUUAUUAAAGAAAGUUAUUCUAUCUGGGUUUAUUGACUGAUCUUUUCCAAUAGCAAAGUAAUUUUUAUUUGUUCAAAAAUUCCUCUUAAAAACAAUUUUUUUUAUCUUGUAGCAAAAUAAAACUGAUUUUUAAUUG
This 970-nucleotide long non-coding RNA is filed under the name Mus pahari (shrew mouse). RNAcentral's name for it is "lncRNA (MGP_PahariEiJ_G0004757.1)". Lineage: Eukaryota; Metazoa; Chordata; Mammalia; Rodentia; Muridae. The record is from RNAcentral.